ACCUACGGGGGGCAGCAGUAGGGAAUUUUCGUCAAUGGGCGCAAGCCUGAACGAGCAAUGCCGCGUGCACGAGGAAGGUCUUCGGAUCGUAAAGUUCUGUUGAAGGGGAAAAAGAGCGGAGAGAGGAAAUGGUCUCCGAUUGAUAUUACCCUUCGAGGAAGUCACGGCUAACUACGUGCCAGCAGCCGCGGUAAUACGUAGGUGGCGAGCGUUAUCCGGAAUGAUUGGGCGUAAAGGGUGCGUAGGCGGCCUGCUAAGCCUGGAGUGAAAGGUACCGGCUCAACCGGUACAGGCUCUGGAAACUG
This 305-nucleotide ribosomal RNA is filed under the name uncultured bacterium. RNAcentral's name for it is "bacterial SSU rRNA". It matches the Rfam family "Bacterial small subunit ribosomal RNA", at positions 337 to 635 of the family's 1533-position model. The record is from RNAcentral.